Long non-coding RNA from Chelonia mydas (Green sea turtle), 847 nucleotides. RefSeq lists it as uncharacterized. The transcript has 4 exons. Lineage: Eukaryota; Metazoa; Chordata; Testudines; Cheloniidae. The record is from RefSeq and is a predicted model, not a curated record.
UGUAGACUGACAGAAGCUGGCUAAGGAUCAGUAAGCCACUAAGGACUGUUGGGGGAAGAAGUGAAGGGCCUAAGAAGCUGCUGAGUCAUCCCAUUGAAACUUCCCAGCCAAAUACAGCAGAACAGCAUCAAGACAUUGCAUCUCAGUUAUUCUGUGUUUCUCUGCAGCUCCAUUUUGUCAUAGCUUUUUAAGGACCUAAAGCCCUGGUUGUUUGACUGCCAAGAGUUCAGUCCCUUUCUUCCACCUCCCUUGUCUGCCCCAUCAAUAAUUAUCAAGAGGCAGUACUGAAAGUGGAGGGCACAGAGACAAGUUCAGGUCACAAAAGGUGAAGUGAGGAACCAACUAGUACCCUCAGGGAAGCCAUGGAAUUGAGGAUUACAUUUCCACACUUCAGAACUUCAUCUGACAUGGAAGUGGAGCUUCUGAAAGAGUGAGCUGGACAGGCUGCCUCCCUCAGUUCUCUGAAGAUGAAGAAGAGCAGUUGUGGGCUGGAUCCACAAAGAGGCCUAACUUUUUGGUACCUAGAAAAUCACAGGAAAAAGACUGUGAAUCUGCAAUCCAUGAAGCCUGCAGUAGGCACCCAGGCUCCGUAUACAAUGAACGGGGAGAGAGAGGCACGUCAGAAUGUGAUGAGAGGAGGGUAAGUGCCAUCCUUCUCACAGAGAUAAGCACUUAAGUCCAGGCUGCAGAGCAGUGCCUGCCUCUAACUAGCGAUCCAUGAACUGUGGGAAGAUAGGCGUUCCUCUGCCUAACUCUUAUGCAGGGCCUGAUCUGGUAGAUCUGCUGAGGCUAUGCAUGUCUACACAAAGCAGCCAGGGGAGGGGGAAGACCUCCAUUAUAAUCUUUA